CAGCCGCCGCGGUAAAACAGAGGGUGCGAGCGUUAAUCGGAUUUACUGGGCGUAAAGCGUGCGUAGGCGGCUUUUUAAGUCGGAUGUGAAAUCCCUGAGCUUAACUUAGGAAUUGCAUUCGAUACUGGGAAGCUAGAGUAUGGGAGAGGAUGGUAGAAUUCCAGGUGUAGCGGUGAAAUGCGUAGAGAUCUGGAGGAAUACCGAUGGCGAAGGCAGCCAUCUGGCCUAAUACUGACGCUGAGGUACGAAAGCAUGGGGAGCAAACAGGAUUAGAUACCCGCGUAGUCCCUGUCUCUUAUAC
RNAcentral lists this ribosomal RNA (301 nucleotides) under uncultured bacterium. Its description in RNAcentral is "partial 16S ribosomal RNA". It matches the Rfam family "Bacterial small subunit ribosomal RNA", at positions 509 to 807 of the family's 1533-position model. The record is from RNAcentral.